UGAGAAGUGGCUGAGGUUAAGCAGUAGACUGUAAAUCUACCCACGGAAAUGUUUCCCUUCUUAU
Molecule: transfer RNA, 64 nt
Filed under: Polydora hoplura
Lineage: Eukaryota; Metazoa; Annelida; Polychaeta; Spionida; Spionidae
Description: tRNA-Tyr
Rfam family: tRNA
About the family: Transfer RNA (tRNA) molecules are approximately 80 nucleotides in length.
Source: RNAcentral